UCCGCCGCGGCCACUCAGACAUCCCAAGCUGUGGCAUGUGCGCAUGCACAAGAAAAUAGCAAAGGGGGAGCGCGGCAUCAGCGACGCUGAGACCUGAGUUGCCACGGCGUAGCAAGUGUAAUACCAGCGAGGGGAAGCCCAGGGACAAAACAACAGGGAGCGUAUGGCAGCGCUGGCUGGGGGAGGAGAACUGUUACCAUGGAGAAUGACAAAGGGAGCGCAGUGAAGGCAGCUGAGUACAUCCUGCCCUAACUGAUCGGACGAAGGGGGGCGGAGCGUAACGGACGAAAAGGGGGCGGAGCUUCACGGCCGAAAAGGGGGCGGGGCUACACGGAACCAGAAGACUGCAGUACCACAGAGGAGCGGGAAGAUCCUCUUCAAAUAUUCCUCUUCUCUUUUCCAGUGUCUCCAAAUAAUAAAGAUCAAAUACUCGGUAUACACUAUAACAGAAUAAUGAAAACAUCCUGCUUCUAUGCUAACUUCCUGUCAGACUUCCACCAAGAAGAUCAAAGAUCUAUAUGAGAGCAGCCACUGUCAGCCAGGUGAGUAUGGGUAUAACCCAGUGGUUCUCAAACUCGGUCCUCAGGACCGCACACAGUUCACGUUUUCCAUUUCACCCGGCAGGAGCACUGUGUAUCUCCAACUGUCACAUUUUAAAAAUCUACAGGUGACCUGCAAAACAUGAACCGUGUGGGGUCCUGAGGACCGAGUUUGAGAACCUGUGGUAUAAUCCAUUGCACUGGCAGUGAACGGCAGGCAUUCCAAUCUACAUGGACUACAAGGACAGCCCUGCCACUACCAGAGCAUUAUGCCCUGGAGAAUGGCAUGCAGUUUUUUCCAUCCUAUUGUUAAAUAUCUGAACAUAUUAGUAACCACAACAAUAACAGCAAUACGUUUGUUAUUGCAAACCUAUUACAGGUUGAGUAUCCCAUAUCCAAAUAUUCCAAAAUACGGAAUAUUCCGAAAUUCGGACUUUUUUGAGUGAGACUGAGAUAGUGAAACCUUUGUUUUUUGAUGGCUCAAUGUAUACAAACUUUGUUUAAUACUCAAAGUUAUUAAAAAUAUUGUAUUAAAUGACCUUCAGGCUGUGUGCAUAAGAUGUAUAUGAAACAUAAAUGAAUUGUGUAAAUGUAGACACACUUUCUUUAAUGCACAAAGUUAUAAAAAAUAUUGGCUAAAAUGACCUUCAGGCUGUGUGUAUAAGGUGUAUAUGUAACAUAAAUGCAUUCUGUGCUUAUAUUUAGGUCCCAUCACCAUGAUAUCUCAUUAUGUAUGCAAUUAUUCCAAAAUAUGGAAAAAUCCGAUAUCCAAAAUACCUCUGGUCCCAAGCAUUGUGGAUAAGGGAUACUCAACCUGUAUAGAAUUGUUUUGGAUAAUUGUAACAUAUAAAGCCGCUAUUAGAGUAAUUUAUAUUGUAGCAAUGUAACGAUUGCACCAACACAAUGUGUAGACAGGGUGGUGCUGAAGAACCUAUAUAAGAAAUCAGAAACAUUACAAGCCAAACUAGAACCCAGCAUGUUCAAUAUCACUAAAAAGAAAAAAGGGUAUUUUACAGGAAAAAGUAGAGAAAUGAGGACAGAGAUAACUAUCAAUCCUCUGGAUAGAUUAAGAGAAAGACCCAAGGGCUUCUUUAGGUGUGCCAGAGCCAGGUGCCUCACUUGCAGGAAUGUAAAUUCGUGCAGUAAGACAUUUGAGUCUAGAGCCACGGGUGAAUCUUUUGCUAUAGAGGGCUUCUUGAACUGUGAAUCCACGUAUACCUUAUAGAAUGCGGAUGUGGAUACCAGUAUGUCGGACGAACUAUUAGAAAACUGAAAGUGCGCUUUCUCGAACAUCGAAGAAACAUCAUAAAUCAAAAUAUUACACAUAGUGUGUCGCGACACACAAGCCAGUGCAGACAAGGUAAUAUUUCCGAUGUCCGACUAAAAGCACUUGAACAGAUCAAGAUAACGUAAAGAGGAGGCGAUAGAUUCAAUGCUUUAUGCAGAAAAGAGGCCUUCUGGAUUUUCCGUCUAAAGACUCUGGAGCCCUUGGGCCUAAAUGAGAACAUAGAACUUAAUAAUAUCUAAUGUUGUUAUAUGCAUAUGUUCCCUCAAGGAGGUACUUCUGUUAUAAAUGUGCCCCUCAGACUAUUGCUCCCGAAUGUCCCUAUGUGUAUAUGUACAUGUCCCUGUAAGUGAAUACUUGAAACAUAGGAGUCUUUCAGUCACAUAUAAGUAGUGACGUUAAUCCUAUGGUCUGUAUCCCCUAUAUCUAGUAAUUGGUGUAUCCUUUAUUAUAAUACAUAAACUAAGAUUGAAUAAUUCGUCUUUUCACAAAAAAGUGGAGAGUUUCCACUAAGCAUAUACAUGAAUAAGUUCUUAUUAUAUGUAUAUGGUCCCUUCCCAAGCUGAUUUAUAUAUGCAGGGAGUAUAUCAAUUAUAGAGAUCUCCUUAUAUGUAUUCAUCUUUUGGAUUAUAUUAUAUUGUUAUCCUCAUAUGCAUCUUCUAUUCAUAUGUGUCUGUAUUCUCUAUCUCACUUCACUCCCCUAUACUUCUUGUUUUAUAUAUUAAGGAAAACAUAGGUUGUAUAUAUCCCCUAAUCAUUAGGGUCCUAAAAUAAGAAUUUAAAAAUAUUUUAAAAAAUAAUUAGAACUAAUUACCACUGGUGGUUCAAACCAUAUAAGGGUUAAUUAAGAUAUAGGUAUGUGGACUAGAUGUCUAUUGCCGGAUUUAUGACACCUCAAUGUGGCUACUAGAUCAAGUAUCAUUUUUAUAACUUUUUAUCAAUUUUUUUUUUGUAUAUUAAUUAUAUAUAGGGAAGCCAAUCCCGGGCCAUUUUUUCAAUCCCGGGUAUCGGGAUUGAAAAAUGGUCAAUCCCGGGAUUCCCGGGAUUGGCUUUAGACUGUGUCCGGCCGACCCCCACGCCCCACCCCUCCCGCCCUGCAGACAUAAAAAAAAAACGUACCUGCACAGCCAGGUCCUGAGGACGCUCAAUGCUGAUCCCUCAAUCCCCGGGAUUGGAGCUUCCAAUCCCGGGAUUGAAUCCCUGCCGUUUUUGGGCCUAAAUCCCGGGAUCCCGCCGAUCCCGAUCCCGGGAUUGGCAUCCCUAAUUAUGUAUGUUUACUUAUGUAUACAACAUAUAGUGCAUAUAUAGGUGUACCAGAAAGGCAUAACUAUAAACUGGUUAAAUUAGAUAUUUUAAUGAGAAACCGAUCAGCUGUUAUUAAUAAUGUCUGAACAGAAAUUUUUGACCAAUGGGGAGUCCCCGAGGGGGAUAAAUAGAGACUGCACUAAUGAAAAUCUAAACCUCAGAGGAAACCGCCACCCAUUAAAGGCGGAGAAACGCGCCAGUUGAUCGAGAUACAUCAGGUGGAACGCACCGGAAGCUCCGAAAAACCCGGAAGUCGCGGUCCGCGACCAAACGUUCCCUGCUACACCACACGCUUCCAGCGUCUAAGGCUCUGUUGGAGGCAGCUGCCGGUACCAACCAGCCAGGCAACAGACACUCUGAACCGCCGCAGUGCGGAGGGAUAAGCUUCGCCCACGGGAGUGUCGUGCCGUGGAACAACAACUACCAGCACCACAUCACGUAACUAUUCAUUGCUGCUAAGCAUUUUGCCUUACAAAACUGCCAAAACCAACAAACUUUUCUACCAUUAUUAGUGCGGGACUGUGACUUUUCAAAUGUGGCACUUGCUAUGCUUAUUUAACAACAACUAAUAUUGAUAUUAAUAAGUCCCUUGGAGGUAGAUAACAGCUUUACUAACCAGUAGUUCUGUAUGAAAAGAUUGUGCUGUGCCUAACGGACUAUUACAUCGUGUGCAUGCCUUCUACUAACACCAAAGCCUAAUUGGCGAGAGCUUAUAUUGUACAAUUUAUUUAUUUUUCUUCAGUCUUGACUGUUUUAUCAUGAUGGUUUGAUUAUGUUUAAAUUUAUUGUUUUUAACAGCUAA
Pseudophryne corroboree (corroboree frog) is the source of this 3931-nucleotide long non-coding RNA. RefSeq lists it as uncharacterized. The record is from RefSeq and is a predicted model, not a curated record. Lineage: Eukaryota; Metazoa; Chordata; Amphibia; Anura; Myobatrachidae. The transcript has 3 exons.